GACGAACGCUGGCGGCGUGCUUAACACAUGCAAGUCGAACGGAAAGGCCCUGCUUUUGUGGGGUGCUCGAGUGGCGAACGGGUGAGUAACACGUGAGUAACCUGCCCUUGACUUUGGGAUAACUUCAGGAAGCUGGGGCUAAUACCGGAUAGGAGCUCCUGCUGCAUGGGGGGGGUUGGAAAGUUUCGGCGGUUGGGGAUGGACUCGCGGCUUAUCAGCUUGUUGGUGGGGUAGUGGCUUACCAAGGCUUUGACGGGUAGCCGGCCUGAGAGGGUGACCGGCCACAUUGGGACUGCGAUACGGCCCAGACUCCUACGGGAGGCAGCAGUGGGGAAUAUUGCACAAUGGGCGGAAGCCUGAUGCAGCAACGCCGCGUGCGGGAUGACGGCCUUCGGGUUGUAAACCGCUUUCGCCUGUGACGAAGCGUGAGUGACGGUAAUGGGUAAAGAAGCACCGGCUAACUACGUG
Molecule: ribosomal RNA, 468 nt
Filed under: uncultured bacterium
Lineage: Bacteria
Description: partial 16S ribosomal RNA
Rfam family: Bacterial small subunit ribosomal RNA
Source: RNAcentral